UGCAUCUAGUCAAUUUGGGCGGUUAUCUGAUGAAUAAACUAAAACCCAACGGUCCUACAUCUUCCGGAAUUUCAGCCAUGACAUGAGAACGUGCCCACUCAAAUCAUGAAACUCAGAGAUGAGAAAACACUAACAAUUGAAAAAUUAAAAUAUACAUUUAACUAUAAAUACACAAUUAAAAAAUUGAAGAAAGCAACUACCAUUGAGAGAACCAAACUGUAGAAAAACAAAGACCAUUGAGAGAACCAAACUGUAGAAAAACAAAGGAAUUUGAAAGGCGGUGAUUCAUUGCAAGGAGAGACAGAUAGAAUAUGAAUCAAUGUUCAGUUCGGAGGAGUUAUCUAAUCACUACUUCUCAAGAAUUGCUACAAAUCAUUGUAAAGAGAAAGAGAAAUUCUAUUUCGACCAUAUUUGAUGAGAACGGAAAAAUAGUCGUAUGAGAGUUUUUUGGAGACAAAGAAGUCUUCUGUUACGUUAAUUUCAAACUUGAAGCUACAAAUUUUCAGAUUUGGAGGCUGGCAUGGUGGUGUGUUGGUGCUGGCGACUUGUGAGGUGACACUCAAUGUCACAAGAGGAGAAUAAAUGAAAUCAAAUACAAAAAUGUUCAUUACCUCGGUAUAGUAAUAGAGGUUGUUGCAUCAUUAAUGGAAAGAUUCUUGGAACUUUUUGGUGUGGAGAAGUCCUCUAAGGUCGUUCUUCCAACUGAAAAUGGUGGAUGCUUGGGUUCUGGAAGGGCCAUUGCGUCACUUGCCAACAUUACAACAACAUCAGACAUUGUUGGUCUAUCUUUUGCAUCUUCUUGAACACACAACAAACCAAUCUGGUCUAAUAGAACAUUGCUAGCUUUGAGAUCUCUGUGAAUUACUUUAAGUCGAGAGUCCUCGUGAAGUUUUAUGCAGCAGCUAGAUCUCCCCUCUGACCUCCCUUGGAGCUCAGUGCAAAAUACUCAUUAGUUGGAGCCCGACUUCUAGAGAGAGGGUUGACU
Molecule: long non-coding RNA, 985 nt
Organism: Vigna unguiculata (cowpea)
Lineage: Eukaryota; Viridiplantae; Streptophyta; Magnoliopsida; Fabales; Fabaceae
Source: RefSeq, a predicted model, not a curated record